This 253-nucleotide ribosomal RNA is filed under the name uncultured bacterium. RNAcentral's name for it is "partial 16S ribosomal RNA". It matches the Rfam family "Bacterial small subunit ribosomal RNA", at positions 524 to 776 of the family's 1533-position model. The record is from RNAcentral.
UACGAAGGGGGCUAGCGUUGCUCGGAAUUACUGGGCGUAGAGCGCACGUAGGCGGCUUUCUAAGUCGGGGGUGAAAUCCUGGAGCUCAACUUCAGAACUGCCUUCGAUACUGGAGAGCUCGAGUCCGGGAGAGGUGAGUGGAACUGCGAGUGUAGAGGUGAAAUUCGUAGAUAUUCGCAAGAACACCAGUGGCGAAGGCGGCUCACUGGCCCGGUACUGACGCUGAGGUGCGAAAGCGUGGGGAGCAAACAGG